UGUUGAGAAGCCUUUUGGUCCUAGACCUGGCCCCCCGUGUAACUGACAAUUAAUCUGUAAGUCUAUGUCGUUGUUUUUUUGUUUGAAUUGUUUACGUGUUCGCUAUGCGGGGGAAAUGAUAAGACAGGUGGAACGACGUGGCUAAUAACUGUUGUAACGGGGAUCAUUAUCGUAGCAACACAUCUUUGGGUGUAAAGGCAUUCCCGCGCGGUGUUAGCUAAGUUUUCAUGUUACCGGAUGUAGUUCGUAAAGGUUGAUAUGUGUAUGUUAGGAUGAAGCGUGAAUUCAUGCCAGGAAUAAUAAGUGUGAAGUUUGAUUUCCUCCCUUCUGUAAUAAGCAGCCAAUGAGUUCUCACGGAAGGUGAUAAUUCUGACUAAACUACAGAAUAAAGCCGCCAGUCAAAAUCAAGGAACGGUUGUGCUCGUGGUUACUGGAGGGAGCUACAGUGAGAACUCAGUGCUCUUCACGAGCAAGAGAGAAAGAAGAAUCUCAUCCAGCUGUAAAGUCUACAAGAUACCCAAAUCCUGGUAGGCCCUGUCAUCUGCCAGAUAAGAGUUUUGCACCUACCUGCAACCUAAGAAGAACAUCUCCACAUAAGGAAGCAUCGUGAGGCAACAUAAGGUCAAGGCUAACAGGAAAGUCAGACACGCAGUUCUCACGGAAGGUGAUAAUUCUGACUAAACUACAGAAUAAAGCCGCCAGUCAAAAUCAAGGAACGGUUGUGCUCGUGGUUACUGGAGGGAGCUACACCCCGGUACCGCUUGCCAUGCGGUAGUAGAGAGAACAGUCUAUGACUGGGGUGUCUGGGGUUUUUGACAACUUUUAGGGCCUUCCUUUGACACCGCCUGGUGUAGAGGUCCUGGAUGGCAGGCAGCUUAGCCCCAGUCAUGUACUGGGCCGUAGGCACUACCCUCUGUACUGCCUGUAUAUUGUAUAUUUCAUACAAUGCCUGUAUAUUGUAUAUGCAUAGUGCCUGUAUAUUGUAUAUUUCAUACAAUGCCUGUAUAUUGUAUAUGCAUAGUGCCUGUAUAUUGUAUAUGCAUAGUGCCUGUAUAUUGUAUAUUUCAUACAAUGCCUGUAUAUUGUAUAUACAUAGUGCCUGUAUGUUGUAUAUUUCAUACAAUAU
Molecule: long non-coding RNA, 1126 nt
Filed under: Salmo salar (Atlantic salmon)
Lineage: Eukaryota; Metazoa; Chordata; Actinopteri; Salmoniformes; Salmonidae
Description: lncRNA (ENSSSAG00000087095.1)
Source: RNAcentral